UACCAGCACCCCGAGUGGUCGGGACGAUUAUUGGGCCUAAAGCAUCCGUAGCCGGUUCUACAAGUCUUCCGUUAAAUCCGCCUGCUUAACAGAUGGGCUGCGGAGGAUACUAUAGAGCUAGGAGGCGGGAGAGGCAAGCGGUACUUAGUGGGUAGGGGUAAAAUCCGUUGAUCCAUUGAAGACCACCAGUGGCGAAGGCGGCUUGCCAGAACGCACUCGACGGUGAGGGAUGAAAGCUGGGGGAGCAAACCGG
Molecule: ribosomal RNA, 253 nt
Filed under: uncultured bacterium
Lineage: Bacteria
Description: partial 16S ribosomal RNA
Rfam family: Archaeal small subunit ribosomal RNA
Source: RNAcentral